This 424-nucleotide ribosomal RNA is filed under the name uncultured bacterium. RNAcentral describes it as "bacterial SSU rRNA". It matches the Rfam family "Bacterial small subunit ribosomal RNA", at positions 355 to 775 of the family's 1533-position model. The record is from RNAcentral.
UGAGGAAUAUUGGUCAGUGGGCGCAAGCCUGAACCAGCCAUCCCGCGUGCAGGGAGACGGCGCUACGCGUUGUAAACUGCUUUUCCAGGGGGAGAAACUUGCGCACGUGUUGCGCAAUUGACGGUACCCUGGGAAUAAGCAUCGGCUAACUCCGUGCCAGCAGCCGCGGUAAUACGGAGGAUGCGAGCGUUAUCCGGAUUCAUUGGGUUUAAAGGGUGCGUAGGCGGACUAUUAAGUCAGUGGUGAAAUCCUGCAGCUUAACUGCAGAACUGCCAUUGAUACUGAUAGCCUUGAGUUUGGUUAAGGUAGGCGGAAUGUGUAAUGUAGCGGUGAAAUGCUUAGAUAUUACACAGAACACCAAUUGCGUAGGCAGCUUACUGAGCCGACACUGACGCUGAGGCACGAAAGCGUGGGGAUCGAACAG